Lotus japonicus is the source of this 1082-nucleotide long non-coding RNA. RefSeq lists it as uncharacterized. The record is from RefSeq and is a predicted model, not a curated record. Lineage: Eukaryota; Viridiplantae; Streptophyta; Magnoliopsida; Fabales; Fabaceae. The transcript is spliced from 4 exons.
AUCUCAUUCUCCCUAGCACAGACAACUGAAGCAAUCGAUGGAACCUCUCGACUGAAACCACUGUUCCUCACGCUCGCUAGCUCCACCGUUGUCGUUCCCUUUCACCAUAACCACCGUUCCUCACGCUCGCUAGAUCCUCCACCGGAGUCAGUGGUCGAAUCCACAGUAUGCGGUGGUGAAUGGGUUUCCCUUCGCGUGUCCGCCGCUCGUCGCUCGCAAACCGUCAUCCUCCAUCGCCAGUUAACAAGCUUAAGGGAAAAGUCUGAACCGUCAUCCUCCAUCGCCGGAGCUUAAGGAGCAACAAAAGUUCAAGGUCAUCCAUACCAGCUUCCAGCUUAUUAAGCAGCUCACGCAAGGGAUACAUCUGAGGAUGAGAUAUUGGCUAUCAGUGGCUUGGAUGCUGUGGUUUUUGUAAGGAUACUUGUGUUUAGUGUUAGAGGAACCAUUGAUAGGGACAAAAAGACUUGUGCUUGCUGCUUCAUCAAACACAGAAUCUGUUUCUGUAGCUAAUUCACAGGUUGAUUUUGAAACACAAAUUGCUGCAAGAGACUCACAGGAGAAUGAAGAUGGUGCCCACAAAAAAUCAAAUGAUGAAAUCUACUUGGAGGUUGUUGGGGGUGCGAACAAGAAGGGGCGGAUUUAUGGAUUAGGUGCAAAGGCUGUAAAGUUCAAACGUUCUAAGGCCACGUCAUCUCUUGGCGUCUCACCCUCAGAGUAUGAGACAAUGAGAAAUCUUGUUUCUACUUUAACAGAGGAGAACAAGAAGCUAAAGGGAAAAAUGGGGACAUAUGAUGAAAAAUUUGCAAACUUGGACAGAUUCUUGGAGACCUUUCCUUAAAGCAUGGCUUCACGCUCUGUUGAACAAUCACCUACAAAUCAGCAUAACAUAGAUGAUGAAGAAUUAGAGGAUGAUUUGGAUGGCAUUUGAUUUAGAUGAAUAUAUGUAUUUGAUACUAUGUUUUUAAUUAUACUUGACAUUUUACCAUGACUAUGUAUGGAUUCACUACUAUGGUUAUGUAGGUUGAUGAACAUGAUCUUAAAUAUGAAACUUCAAAUCAAUAGUAUAUUUUGAAUUACUUCUA